This 591-nucleotide ribosomal RNA is filed under the name uncultured Helotiaceae. RNAcentral describes it as "eukaryotic LSU rRNA". The stretch from base 239 to 392 matches the Rfam family "5.8S ribosomal RNA". Lineage: Eukaryota; Fungi; Ascomycota; Leotiomycetes; Helotiales; Helotiaceae. The record is from RNAcentral.
GUCAUUUAGAGGAAGUAAAAGUCGUAACAAGGUUUCCGUAGGUGAACCUGCGGAAGGAUCAUUACAAGUGAGGCUACCGAACGUUGGAAACAGCGGUUAGGAGCUUACACCCACCCGUGUUUACAUACUAUUGUUGCUUUGGCGGGCCGUGGCCUCCACUGCGGGCUCUGCUCGUGUGUGCCCGCCAGAGAACCAAACUCUGAAUGUUAGUGAUGUCUGAGUACUAUCUAAUAGUUAAAACUUUCAACAACGGAUCUCUUGGUUCUGGCAUCGAUGAAGAACGCAGCGAAAUGCGAUAAGUAAUGUGAAUUGCAGAAUUCAGUGAAUCAUCGAAUCUUUGAACGCACAUUGCGCCCUGUGGUAUUCCGCAGGGCAUGCCUGUUCGAGCGUCAUUUAACCACUCACGCCUAGCGUGGUAUUGGGGCACGCGGUCUCCGCGGCCCUCAAAAUGAGUGGCGGCGCCGGUGGGCUCUAAGCGUAGUACAUACUCCCGYUAUAGAGUUCCCCCGGUGGCUCGCCAGAACCCCCAAUUUUUACAGGUUGACCUCGGAUCAGGUAGGGAUACCCGCUGAACUUAAGCAUAUCAAUAAG